Molecule: long non-coding RNA, 2175 nt
Organism: Populus trichocarpa (black cottonwood)
Lineage: Eukaryota; Viridiplantae; Streptophyta; Magnoliopsida; Malpighiales; Salicaceae
Exons: 2
Source: RefSeq, a predicted model, not a curated record
CGGGACGUACUCGCUACAAAGUUGUACGUUUGCCACCUGCUCGGGCCAUAAGGCCCCAAAUAUCUGGGCUAAACUAUAUAGUCGGGCUCCUCCUCCUAGAGUCUGUAAUUGUGCCAUAAGCCCAGAUCACUCAGCUAUAAAUUUAAACAGUGGGCUUGAAGCUUUUAGAUUCUGUGAAACCCUAGGGACCGGACUUGCAGCUAUAAGAAACUGAAUUGCCAUUUGCUUCUCCCAUCUUCUGUUUCCAGCCGCCACCAUAGACAGUAGACACUGCAACAAAACCCUAGGGUUUAGAUAUUGUUCUUGAUUCCUUGCCGUUAUUGUUGUAUUAAUUGUAUAUAAGCAUAUAUGGGUUAUGAUUAUAAAGAGAGAGGGCUUAAGUGGGAUCUUCAACAAAACCCAUUUGGAUUUGGAGGUUAAAAAUGAUGGAAAGAAAGGCAGGCACAAAAGAAGAAGAAGCCGCCACUCAGAGAAAAAAUUUGUGUUUGGAAAAUGGUGAGGUAAUUAGGCAGCGGCCAGACAACCGUAGGGAUGGUAUCCACAGAUGGCGGGUAUUUUAUCCCGCUUUGUCUACUGAUUCCAUCUCACAUUUCUUACAUUGGAUGAUUUAAAUAUUUUUACAAUUAUUAUUUGUUGGGAGCCCAUGAAUCGGUGGAAGUUCAUAUAUCAAUUAAAUUCAUGAAAAAAGUGGAUGAAAUACCAGUUUUGUUUAUAGGGUUUGUCGGUUUUUUAGGGUGUAAUAGUGUUUUGCAUCACAUUUACUAGGAUCUAUGAUAAAACAAAAGUUAAUUUAUCUCUCUAAAGCUAUUUUUUGCUUCUAUUUGACCAUUUCAAUCUUGAUGGUAUACCAUAUGCGCACUGAAUUCAGUGCGUAGAAUGGGUGUCCUGGCUUCUAUGGAAAUAGGAUGACCGACACAACUUGAUUUUGGAAGUCCUUUAGUGUGCUGAAUUUCAUGCAUAUAGAAUUACUCGCAUCAAACAAAUGAUCAAGUCAUUGACCUUUUUUCUCGAAGUGCCCUUCUAGAUAAUUUCUCUCAGUGCAUUGAGAGAAUUUGGUGAGAAAGUUAAAGAGAAGCUAUUUGUGCUCUAGUAUAUUUUACUAAUUUUGAUUAGUUACCGCAUGCCCUAGCUUUUUUGUGAAAAAAUUGAUGUUGUUUUCUGUUUCUUUCUGCUGCUCCUUUGUGUCAUGCAGCGCAUGGUGCGUUGUGCAAUAUCUUGUAUUAAGUGUUAAUUAUGCCCAUUUUCCAUGGAAUUGAAUCAAUGUGUUUGCACACCUGCCUCGUCCUAUCUCCAGUUUUACUCGAAUACAAUCUAUGCUUGAAGUUAUGCUGAAAGAAAGAUCACCACAAGUGAUGCAUUUCCUGUUUUUGUUAACAUUUUUUUUGGCAUGCGAUGCUUUUUGUCAAAUAUAACAAGAUUUAAUUUUGAAUGUGAUCUAUUGAUGCAAUUCGUGUACUAAAAUUACAUCUAAUGCAAGAUUGCCUGUCUCGCCCCAAAAUUAGCUACAUGAAUAUAGUAGAAAACUUUUUCCUCAAUUGGGACAUUGGUCUUUGUGACCAUAGAUUUCAUUGCAUGCAUGGUUUUGACUUUUGAGCCUCUGAACCAUUAUGUUUCUUUUUCCGUGCACCAUUUGGUUAAUAAAUUCUUGAUGAUUGGUGAAAACUAGAGUUACACUUGAGAAAACUUGAGAUCGCUUUCCUCCUGGUGUAUCAUGAAAGGAUUAAUAAUUUGAGGCUUGGGACAGUGAUGUGAACACUAGAAUAAACUUUGAUCAAGAGUGUAAAUGUCUGGAGGCGUUGCUUGCCAGCGACUGGAUGUUUAUUUGGGAUGUAAAGGAAGUAGCUGUUACAUGAAAAUUCACGGAAAAAAAAUGCUUCAGAGCUUCAUGAAUGCCCUUACCCGCACGUGUAUGACUUUUCUGUACAAGAGGAAACUGCUAGCCUGUAAGAUCUCAGCAGGUUCAUUGAAACGUCCUUGUUGUAAACUAUGGCUUGUCAUUUGUGUUUAUUUUUUAAGAAGAAAAAAUAUUAUUUUAAUAUAUUUUUAAGUAAAAAUUACCGUAAAAUUAUAUAUUCUCAAACACCUUGCCUGCAAAGCUACUCUUUUCUUAAGUCUUACUUUGUAAUCCUGAGGCAUAGCUUGUCAAUAACAAUAAUCUCAAAUUUUAUGAUUUUA